AUUCAAUACGGCGAUGGAGUUCGCCAUUAACCGUCCCUAGAGACUAAUGACUCCUACCAGCGG
This 63-nucleotide non-coding RNA is filed under the name Paenibacillus riograndensis. RNAcentral describes it as "Fluoride sequence". It matches the Rfam family "Fluoride riboswitch aptamer (crcB RNA motif)". Lineage: Bacteria; Bacillati; Bacillota; Bacilli; Caryophanales; Paenibacillaceae. The record is from RNAcentral.